This 432-nucleotide ribosomal RNA is filed under the name uncultured bacterium. RNAcentral's name for it is "partial 16S ribosomal RNA". It matches the Rfam family "Bacterial small subunit ribosomal RNA", at positions 29 to 507 of the family's 1533-position model. The record is from RNAcentral.
ACGAACGCUGGCGGCAUGCCUAACACAUGCAAGUCGAACGAGACCUUCGGGUCUAGUGGCGCACGGGUGCGUAACGCGUGGGAAUCUACCCUCAGGUUCGGAAUAACUCAGAGAAAUUUGAGCUAAUACCGGAUGAUGACGUAAGUCCAAAGAUUUAUCGCCUGAGGAUGAGCCCGCUUAGGAUUAGGUAGUUGGUGAGGUAAAGGCUCACCAAGCCGACGAUCCUUAGCUGGUCUGAGAGGAUGAUCAGCCACACUGGGACUGAGACACGGCCCAGACUACUACGGGAGGCAGCAGUGGGGAAUAUUGGACAAUGGGCGAAAGCCUGAUCCAGCAAUGCCGCGUGAGUGAUGAAGGCCUUAGGGUUGUAAAGCUCUUUUACCCGGGAUGAUAAUGACAGUACCGGGAGAAUAAGCUCCGGCUAACUCCGUG